RNAcentral lists this ribosomal RNA (500 nucleotides) under uncultured bacterium. RNAcentral's name for it is "bacterial SSU rRNA". It matches the Rfam family "Bacterial small subunit ribosomal RNA", at positions 30 to 504 of the family's 1533-position model. The record is from RNAcentral.
CGAACGCUGGCGGCGUGCCUAACACAUGCAAGUCGAGCGCGAACCUACACUUCGGUGUAGUAUUAGAGCGGCGAACGGGUGAGUAACACGUGAGUAACCUACCUGCAGGAUUGGGAUAACCACUCGAAAGGGUGGCUAAUACCGGAUAAGACCACAGUAUCUCUGGAUACAGAGGGAAAAGGUGGCCACUCCAUGGAAGCUACCGCCUGCGGAUGGGCUCGCGGCCCAUUAGCUAGUUGGUGAGGUAACAGCUCACCAAGGCUACGAUGGGUAGCUGGUCUGAGAGGAUGAUCAGCCACACUGGAACUGAGACACGGUCCAGACUCCUACGGGAGGCAGCAGUGGGGAAUAUUGCGCAAUGGGCGAAAGCCUGACGCAGCAACGCCGCGUGAGUGAUGAAGGCCUUCGGGUCGUAAAGCUCUGUUCUGGGGGAAGAGGGGUGCAGAUGUAAAUAAUGUCUGCAUCUGACGGUACCCCAGCAGGAAGCACCGGCUAACUCC